CGCGGCGGACGAGCCGCGCGGGCCGCCUUGAAUUACAAUUUCCACCGGGCGGCGGACUGAAUCCUUUGCAGACGACUUAAAUACGCGACGGGGUAUUGUAAGUGGCAGAGUGGCCUUGCUGCCACGAUCCACUGAGAUUCAGCCCUUCGUCGCUCCGAUUCGU
RNAcentral lists this non-coding RNA (163 nucleotides) under Ricinus communis (castor bean). RNAcentral's name for it is "Eukaryotic large subunit ribosomal RNA". It matches the Rfam family "Eukaryotic large subunit ribosomal RNA", at positions 3240 to 3401 of the family's 3401-position model. The record is from Rfam by way of RNAcentral. Lineage: Eukaryota; Viridiplantae; Streptophyta; Magnoliopsida; Malpighiales; Euphorbiaceae.